GAGAGAGCUGUCAGGUGUACGAUCUGUGCACAUGCGCGCCUCAGCCAACUUUACUGAGUUUUGAAAAAAGAAAAGUGAAAGACAGGACGUGUUGAGCGCCAGUGACGAUGAGGAGUUUUCAGAGAAGACCUUCUGAUGAAGAGGAGGAUGAGGACUGACCCACAGACAGGUGUGACGUGCAGGUUUCCACCACGUCGAGGCUGGGGGGAAACCACCGAGAACAUCUGAUGACGUGCUGCUGAGGCAGUUUGGGUUAAUGACAUCAUGAGAUGAGUUGGCUGCUGGACGGAGACCGCAGCCAGCGGCAGAGGAGCUGCUGGGGUUGUGAGGCAAGGUUUGCAGCUGCUGGUUAAAAAAAACACACAAAUGUGCUGUGGAUUUUAUAAAGAAUUUGUUGAAAUGUUGAAGGGAAGAACACAUUCAGGAGGUCUGAAGGAGGAAUUCUGUUGUUGCCUUGAACCAGACGACCAUUAAACAACUGCAGGAUUUUCCGAGUGCUCCACGCCCAGUGAAGUACAUCCUGAAUGCUGGUGACCACAGGAAGUAACACACAAGUAAAAGAUAACGUAGACUCUGAAGCCGAGUACAUUAUUUAUUUAUCAUGAAACCAGUUGCUGUGAGGCUUUAUCUUCAAAUGUUGAAUCAUUAAGAGACUUAGAGUGAACGAGGAACUAAGGUUAAGGAUGUAAAUUAAGUGUAAUGUGUACAUUUUUGUAUGUAUACAUAGUGAAAUAAAUAUUUUUUUAUUGUCAUGUAACUUGUGUUCCUGGUAAACACUUUAUAAAUCAA
Limanda limanda (common dab) is the source of this 789-nucleotide long non-coding RNA. RefSeq lists it as uncharacterized. NCBI's taxonomy places the organism in Eukaryota, Metazoa, Chordata, Actinopteri, Pleuronectiformes, Pleuronectidae. The transcript is spliced from 4 exons. The record is from RefSeq and is a predicted model, not a curated record.